CCUUUUGGCCUAGCUUGGUCUACUCCCAAGGUGGGAAAUAACCAGCUCCACGAUACUCCGGAGCAGACUGUGGAUACCACUGCUGUGUGAGCUCCUCUGGCUCCCACUGAUAAACUGGCGUCUGGUACUCGACUGGCGGCUCGGGCAUGGGCGCCUGUGGUUGGGCCAAGCCCCAAUAUGCGUAGAUGUCCGCGGGCAUAAUAG
This 204-nucleotide long non-coding RNA is filed under the name Hordeum vulgare. RNAcentral's name for it is "long non-coding RNA (HVUL_LNC011997)". The record is from RNAcentral. Lineage: Eukaryota; Viridiplantae; Streptophyta; Magnoliopsida; Poales; Poaceae.